UACGUAGGAGGCAAGCGUUGUCCGGAAUUACUGGGUGUAAAGCGCGUGUAGGUGGGAGGCCAAGUCUGUGGUGAAAGCGCCCGGCUCAACUGGGCAGAGUCCAUGGAAACUGGUCACCUGGAGGACGGUAGAGGCGAGUGGAAUUCCCGGUGUAGUGGUGAAAUGCGUAGAGAUCGGGAGGAACACCAGUGGCGAAGGCGGCUCGCUGGGCCGGUCCUGACACUGAUGCGCGAAAGCCAGGGGAGCAAACGGG
RNAcentral lists this ribosomal RNA (253 nucleotides) under uncultured bacterium. RNAcentral describes it as "partial 16S ribosomal RNA". It matches the Rfam family "Bacterial small subunit ribosomal RNA", at positions 524 to 776 of the family's 1533-position model. The record is from RNAcentral.